AUGCGUUCAGCUCGCCACCUCCACCUCCCGGUCUGGGCCCUCCUUCUCCUCCUGCACUUCUUAGCCUUCGUCCCGGCAGCCAGAGCACAGCAAGAAAUCGACGAUGAAUCGGAGUUCAGCUACGUCCGCGGAGCCAAGAACGGGCCGGAGAACUGGGGCAAGAUCAAGGAGGAGUGGGCGACGUGCGGCACGGGGAGGAUGCAGUCGCCCAUCCACCUCUCCGACCGCCGUGCCUCGCGCGCGCCCCACCUCGGCUACCUCAUCACCGCCUACGCCCCCGCCAAGGCCUCCAUCGUCAACCGCGGCCACGACAUCGCGGUGAUGUUCCACGGCGACGCCGGGAGCUUGUGGAUCAACGACACCCUUUACCACCUCAGUCAGGUGCACUGGCACUCCCCCAGCGAGCACCGCCUAAACGGCCGCCGGUACAGCCUGGAGCUCCACAUGGUUCACCUCAGCGCCGAGAACAAGGCUGCCGUGAUCGGCCUCCUCUACGAUAUCGGCAGCCCGGACGAUUUCCUGCACAAGCUCGAGCCUUACCUGCGGAGAAUGGCAGACAUGAAGGAGAAGGAGGAGAAGGUCGGCGUGGUAGAUUCCUGGGUGGCGCGGGGAGAUGGCGAAGCCUACUACCGGUACAUGGGUUCCCUCACCACGCCGGCGUGCGACGAGGGGGUCAUCUGGACCGUCAUCAAGAGGGUUGCUACCGUCUCGAGUGACCAACUAAAGCUUCUUACCGACGCUGUGCAUGACGGCUUUGAGAUGAACGCGAGACCCCUUCAGAAGGUGAAUGGCAGAGAUAUCGGCUUGUUCUGCCCUGAUGAUGACCAUGAACGCUAUUACGCUGCUGCUGAUCAUUAA
This 858-nucleotide ribosomal RNA is filed under the name Triticum aestivum (bread wheat). Its description in RNAcentral is "partial small subunit ribosomal RNA". The record is from RNAcentral. Lineage: Eukaryota; Viridiplantae; Streptophyta; Magnoliopsida; Poales; Poaceae.